GACGAACGCUGGCGGCGUGCUUAACACAUGCCAGUCGAACGGAAAGGCCCUGCUUUUGUGGGGUGCUCGAGUGGCGAACGGGUGAGUAACAAGCGAGUAACCUGCCCUCGACUUUGGGAUAACUUCAGGAAACUGAGGCUAAUAACGGAUAGGUGAUCCUGCUGCAUGGUGGGGGUUGGAAAGAUUGGGCGGUUGGGGAUGGACUCGCGGCUUAUCAGCUUGUUGGUGGGGUAGUGGCAUACCAAGGCUUUGACGGGUAGCCGGCCCGGGGAGGUGACCGGCGACAUGGGUACUAAGGGAGGGCGCAGACUCGUAUGGGAGGCAGCAGGCGGGAGUAUUGCGCAGCGGGGGGAAGUCAGUGGCAGAGGCGCCCGGUGCGUGAUGACGGGUUUCUGGGUGUGAACCGUUGUGGCCUGUGACGAAGCGUUAGUGACGGUAAUUGGUAAGGAAGCACCGGCUAACUACGUG
This 468-nucleotide ribosomal RNA is filed under the name uncultured bacterium. RNAcentral describes it as "partial 16S ribosomal RNA". It matches the Rfam family "Bacterial small subunit ribosomal RNA", at positions 28 to 507 of the family's 1533-position model. The record is from RNAcentral.